This 241-nucleotide ribosomal RNA is filed under the name uncultured bacterium. Its description in RNAcentral is "partial 16S ribosomal RNA". It matches the Rfam family "Bacterial small subunit ribosomal RNA", at positions 1259 to 1500 of the family's 1533-position model. The record is from RNAcentral.
GAGGUGGAGCAAAUCCCUAAAAGCCAUCCCAGUUCGGAUCGCAGGCUGCAACCCGCCUGCGUGAAGUUGGAAUCGCUAGUAAUCGCGGAUCAGCAUGCCGCGGUGAAUACGUUCCCGGGCCUUGUACACACCGCCCGUCACACCAUGAGAGUCGGGAACACCCGAAGUCCGUAGUCUAACCGCAAGGGGGACGCGGCCGAAGGUGGGUUCGAUAAUUGGGGUGAAGUCGUAACAAGGUACC